This 1228-nucleotide long non-coding RNA is filed under the name Sus scrofa (pig). Its description in RNAcentral is "lncRNA (ENSSSCG00000047824.1, ENSSSCG00025041184.1, ENSSSCG00055023961.1)". Lineage: Eukaryota; Metazoa; Chordata; Mammalia; Artiodactyla; Suidae. The record is from RNAcentral.
UAUCACAACCAUCAGUCAUUACAUCAUUAAUUCAUUCAACAAAUAUUAUAUUGCAUGAGUAUUUCUUGUCAGGUGUUGAGCUGGCCUCCUAAGUUACAGGGUCUUGUGCAUAGCCAUUUGAGCCAUUUGUCUCCAUAAAAUAAAUCUGACUAUCCCCAAGCAUGUCUGAUUCUCGAGCCCAGCUUCUCCCAGUCCGUUCAUUGCCAUCCAACAAAAGAUGGACUAAAGACAUGGGACUCUUGGCAGGUAAAAUUAAGAGGUCAAAACAGUAAGAGGAAAUUUAAGAGUAAUAAAUACAUAGUCCUACAUCCAAUUCUAAAGGAGAAUAAAGGCCUAUACAUAGAAGCGGAGAAAUCUGGCUUAAUACAGCAGUUCAUAUGGAGGAAAAGACCCUGAGAUUUUAGUUAUCAACAGGCUUGAGAAGGGUUAACAAUGUGAUGAGACUCCUUAGAAGAGCUAGUCACAUCUUAGGCUGCUCUGAUUAGGGGUUAUGCUAACGCCUAUACUUUGGGCUGAUCAUUGUCUUCAGCUCUAUAAGCUAUAUUCUAGGGAGAAUAUUAACGGACUAGAGGGCAUGCAGGGCAGUGAUUCUGAGGCAUAGAACUGGGCUUUGGCUGAACUUGGAGAGUACGUUAAAAAGCACAGAUUCCUGGAGUUCCCAUCGAGGCUCCUGGAGACAAAUCUGACCAUCAUCCAUGAGGAUAGAGGUUUGAUCCCUGGCCUUGCUCAGUGGGUUAAGGAUCUGGCGUUGCCAUGAGCUAUGGUAUAGGUCACAGACGCGGCUUGGAUCCUGUGUUGCUGUGGCUGUGGUGUAAGCCCAGGGGCUAUAGCUCCUAUUUGACCCCUAGCUUGGGAACCUCCAUAUGCUGCAGGUGCGGCCCUAUAAAGAUAAAAAACAAACAAACAAAGGAACAAACAAACAAACCAAAAAUAAAAAACCAAAAACCAAAAAACCACGACAACACAGAUUUCUGGGUACAUUCAGGUGUUUCCGGGAGUUCCCGUCGUGGCGCAGUGGUUAACGAAUCCGACUAGGAACCAUGAGGUUGUGGGUUCGGUCCCUGCCCUUGCUCAGUGGGUUGACGAUCCGGCGUUGCCGUGAGCUGUGGUGUAGGUUGCAGACGCGGCUCGGAUCCAGCGUUGCUGUGGCUCUGGCGUAGGCUGGUGGCUGCAGCUCCGACUGGACCCCUAGCCUGGGAACCUCCAUAUGCCCCAGAAGCGGCCCAAG